AAGGAGAACAUCUAGAAGUAUCAGAGCAAAGCAUAUCUAGAUUUCUAUAAUAAGGGGAAGAACAAAAGACUAAAUCCACUAAAUAAAAAUAUAAGCAAUACACUGAAAUCCCAAAAUACAAGAGCUAAACAAGGUACAUAGGUGGUCUCUAAACAUGGUAACAAAACUCUCUCUCUCACAAAUACCAAAAAAAAGAGAGUGACCACCUAGGAGCAACAGCAAGCUCCGCUAUCUAGCUAUGCGACUCCCUUGCCGCGAUCCUGUGCCUCCGCCAGUGCUGAAGGCUCUGAAAGAAAACCACAAAACAGAGGGCGUGAGAACUAUAAAAUAAUAGUUUUCAGUAGGCAAUUACUGACUUCAGUGAAAUACGCCACUAGGCCCAAUAGCUGUACAAAAGAGGGUAAAGUACAUAUAAAUAGAUAAAAGCGAGGAAUACGACAAGUAAAUGAGCAUGAAUAUUUGCUACCACAUGAUAUCUCUACUUAGCAUGAUUUAGCAUAAGUAAAAAAUCUAUUCUACCAAGAAUACGAGUGUAUAUGCAACCAACAUAAAGUCCCCAAUGUAAUAGUAAAAUGUCCAGUUUACUAUUCUAGUCAAUGUCCACAAGUCAUGAUGAAUGCUCAAAGUCAAAUCUGAAGAGACCCGCCCGAAGGCUGUCUGGCCCUGAGACCCACCCGUAGGCUGUCUGGCCGGUGCCGAGCCUAAUAGCCCCGUGGUAGUCAACAUCCCCACCUUAGGGAUGAGCCUAGCCCACGGCAAUCCACUUCUGUACCCAAUCCCGCACGACGAAUAUGUAUCGCGAUGGCUAUCUCCGGAGUGCCGGCUUGUAGGGAGCGACCCUCACAAGCAUGUGCGAAUGAGCACAAUGGCAAGUAGCGCAAGAUCCGUCCAAGUAUCAAGUCCUCAUGUCU
This 911-nucleotide long non-coding RNA is filed under the name Ananas comosus (pineapple). RNAcentral describes it as "long non-coding RNA (ACOM_LNC012135)". The record is from RNAcentral. Lineage: Eukaryota; Viridiplantae; Streptophyta; Magnoliopsida; Poales; Bromeliaceae.